UAAUACGUAGGUGGCAAGCGUUGUCCGGAUUUAUUGGGCGUAAAGCGAGCGCAGGCGGUUUCUUAGGUCUGAUGUGAAAGCCUUCGGCUUAACCGGAGAAGUGCAUCGGAAACCAGGAGACUUGAGUGCAGAAGAGGACAGUGGAACUCCAUGUGUAGCGAUGAAAUGCGUAGAUAUAUGGAAGAACACCAGUGGCGAAGGCGGCUGUCUGGUCUGUAACUGACGCUGAGGCUCGAAAGCAUGGGUAGCGAACAGGAUUAGAUACCCUGGUAGUCCAUGCCGUAAACGAUGAGUGCUAAGUGUUGGAGGGUUUCCGCCCUUCAGUGCUGCAGCUAACGCAUUAAGCACUCCGCCUGGGGAGUACGACCGCAAGGUUGAAACUCAAAGGAAUUGACGGGGGCCCGCACAAGCGGUGGAGCAUGUGGUUUAAUUCGAUGCUACGCGAAGAACCUUACCAGGUCUUGACAUCUUCUGCCAACCUAAGAGAUUAGGCGUUCCCUUCGGGGACAGAAUGACAGGUGGUGCAUGGUUGUCGUCAGCUCGUGUCGUGAGAUGUUGGGUUAAGUCCCGCAACGAGCGCAACCCUUAUUGUUAGUUGCCAGCAUUUAGUUGGGCACUCUAGCAAGACUGCCGGUGACAAACCGGAGGAAGGUGGGGAUGACGUCAAAUCAUCAUGCCCCUUAUGACCUGGGCUACACACGUGCUACAAUGGACGGUACAACGAGUCGCGAAACCGCGAGGUCAAGCUAAUCUCUUAAAGCCGUUCUCAGUUCGGAUUGCAGGCUGCAACUCGCCUGCAUGAAGUUGGAAUCGCUAGUAAUCGUGGAUCAGCAUGCCACGGUGAAUACGUUCCCGGGCCUUGUACACACCGCCCGUCACACCAUGAGAGUUUGUAACACCCAAAGCCGGUGAGGUAACCUUCGGGGACCAGCCGUCUAAGGUGGGACAGAUGAUUAGGGUG
RNAcentral lists this ribosomal RNA (961 nucleotides) under uncultured bacterium. RNAcentral describes it as "bacterial SSU rRNA". It matches the Rfam family "Bacterial small subunit ribosomal RNA", at positions 521 to 1482 of the family's 1533-position model. The record is from RNAcentral.